RNAcentral lists this ribosomal RNA (463 nucleotides) under uncultured bacterium. Its description in RNAcentral is "bacterial SSU rRNA". It matches the Rfam family "Bacterial small subunit ribosomal RNA", at positions 49 to 524 of the family's 1533-position model. The record is from RNAcentral.
UUACCAUGCAAGUCGAACGGAAAGGCCCUGCUUUUGUGGGGUGCUCGAGUGGCGAACGGGUGAGUAACACGUGAGUAACCUGCCCUUGACUUUGGGAUAACUUCAGGAAACUGGGGCUAAUACCGGAUAGGAGCUCCUGCUGCAUGGUGGGGGUUGGAAAGUUUCGGCGGUUGGGGAUGGACUCGCGGCUUAUCAGCUUGUUGGUGGGGUAGUGGCUUACCAAGGCUUUGACGGGUAGCCGGCCUGAGAGGGUGACCGGCCACAUUGGGACUGAGAUACGGCCCAGACUCCUACGGGAGGCAGCAGUGAGGAAUAUUGCACAAUGGGCGGAAGCCUGAUGCAGCAACGCCGCGUGCGGGAUGACGGCCUUCGGGUUGUAAACCGCUUUCGCCUGUGACGAAGCGUGAGUGACGGUAAUGGGUAAAGAAGCACCGGCUAACUACGUGCCAGCAGCCGCGGUGAU